Molecule: ribosomal RNA, 494 nt
Filed under: uncultured bacterium
Lineage: Bacteria
Description: partial 16S ribosomal RNA
Rfam family: Bacterial small subunit ribosomal RNA
Source: RNAcentral
GACGAACGCUGGCGGCGUGCUUAACACAUGCAAGUCGAACGGUGAAGCGCCUUCCUUUUUGGUUGGUGUGGAUGAGUGGCGAACGGGUGAGUAACACGUGAGUAACCUGCCCCCUUCUUCUGGAUAACCGCAUGAAAGUGUGGCUAAUACGGGAUAUUCUGGGUCUGUCGCAUGAUGGGUCUGGGAAAGAUAUUGUUUCGGUGGGGGAUGGGCUCGCGGCCUAUCAGCUUGUUGGUGGGGUGAUGGCCUACCAAGGCGGUGACGGGUAGCCGGCCUGAGAGGGUGGCCGGUCACACUGGGACUGCGCCACGGCCGAGACUGCUACGGGAGGCAGCCGUGGGGAAUAUUGCACAGUGGGCGAUAGCCUGAUGCAGCGGCGCCGCGUGAGGGAUGGAGGCCUUCGGGUUGUGAACCUCUUUCGCCAGUGAAGCAGGCCUGCCUCGUUUGUGGGUGGGUUGACGGUAGCUGGAUAAGAAGCGCCGGCUAACUACGUG